RNAcentral lists this transfer RNA (86 nucleotides) under Phycisphaerae bacterium. RNAcentral describes it as "tRNA-Leu". It matches the Rfam family "tRNA". Rfam says of the family: Transfer RNA (tRNA) molecules are approximately 80 nucleotides in length. Lineage: Bacteria; Pseudomonadati; Planctomycetota; Phycisphaerae. The record is from RNAcentral.
GCGGCCGUGGCGGAAUUGGCAGACGCGCUAGAUUCAGGUUCUAGUGGGCAAAACCCGUGGAGGUUCGACUCCUCUCGGCCGCAUCA